GUAAAUAUAGUUUAUUAAAACAUCAGACUGUGAAUCUGAAGAUAUGAGUUAAAACUCUUUUUUUACC
This 67-nucleotide transfer RNA is filed under the name Cricetus cricetus (black-bellied hamster). RNAcentral's name for it is "tRNA-His". It matches the Rfam family "tRNA". From Rfam's summary of the family: Transfer RNA (tRNA) molecules are approximately 80 nucleotides in length. Their secondary structure includes four short double-helical elements and three loops (D, anti-codon, and T loops). Further hydrogen bonds mediate the characteristic L-shaped molecular structure. tRNAs have two regions of fundamental functional importance: the anti-codon, which is responsible for specific mRNA codon recognition, and the 3' end, to which the tRNAs corresponding amino acid is attached (by aminoacyl-tRNA synthetases). tRNAs cope with the degeneracy of the genetic code in two manners: having more than one tRNA (with a specific anti-codon) for a particular amino acid; and 'wobble' base-pairing, i.e. permitting non-standard base-pairing at the 3rd anti-codon position. Lineage: Eukaryota; Metazoa; Chordata; Mammalia; Rodentia; Cricetidae. The record is from RNAcentral.